Molecule: ribosomal RNA, 1038 nt
Filed under: Enteromyxum leei
Lineage: Eukaryota; Metazoa; Cnidaria; Myxozoa; Bivalvulida; Enteromyxidae
Description: SSU rRNA
Rfam family: Eukaryotic small subunit ribosomal RNA
Source: RNAcentral
CUUUUUGUUGCUAGUGACUUGCGGAGUGUGCCUUGAAUAAAGCAAAGUGCUCAAUACAAGCGUCCGCUCGAAUGUAGUAGCAUGGUACGAAUAUCGGUGACGCCAAUCCGUGUUGGUUUUGGAUUGGUGUCUAGAUUAAAAGGGACAUUUGAGGGCGUUAGUACUUGGUGGCGAGAGGUGAAAUUCUUAGACCCACCAAAGACUCACUAAUGCGAAAGCGUUCGCCAAGACUGUUUUCAUUAAUCAAGAACGAAGGUUGGAGGUUCGAAGACGAUCAGAUACCGUCGUAGUUCCACACAGUAAACAAUGCCAACUUGAAUUCAGCGUGUAUAAUCAUAUACGUUGGCUUCUCCGGGAAACCAAGUCUUCGGGCUCUGGGGAUAGUAUAGUUGCAAGUCUGAAAUUUAAAGAGAUUGACGGAAGGGCACCACCAGGAGUGGAGCCUGCGGCUUAAUUUGACUCAACACGGGGAAACUCACCAGGUCCGGACAUCGAUAGGAUUGACAGAAUGACAGAUCUUUCAUGAUACGGUGAUUGGUGGUGCAUGGCCGUUCUUAGUUGGUGGAGUGAUCUGUCAGGUUAAUUCCGGUAACGAGCGAGACCACAAUCUCUAAUUGAUUACAUUCCCACUUAUUUCGGGAUUGAUCUUAGAGAGACUACCAAGUUCAACUUGGGGGAAGUGUGGCAAUAACAGGUCUGUGAUGCCCUUCGAUGUUCUGGGCUGCACGCGCGCUACAAUGGCAGCAGCAAAUAGUUGUUUGCUCGAAAGAGUAGACUAAUCAUUAAUUGCUGUCGUGAUCGGGAUUGAGCCUUGUAAUUAUUGCUCAUGAAAGUGGAAUUCCUCGUAAGCGCAAGUCAUCAACUUGUGUUGAAUACGUCUCUGCCCUUUGUACACACCGCCCGUCGCUACUACCAAUUGAAUGAUUCUGCGAGAUCUCAGGAGAGCUAGUACUUGUACCGGCUUGAUCGAGCUCAAGUAGAAUCCUUUAAAGGAAGUAAAAGUCGUAACAAGGUUUCCGUAGGUGAACCUGCGGAAGG